AUUGAACGCUGGCGGCAGGCUUAACACAUGCAAGUCGAGCGGGGUGAUGGUGCUUGCACUAUCACUUAGCGGCGGACGGGUGAGUAAUGCUUAGGAAUCUGCCUAUUAGUGGGGGACAACAUCUCGAAAGGGAUGCUAAUACCGCAUACGUCCUACGGGAGAAAGCAGGGGAUCACUUGUGACCUUGCGCUAAUAGAUGAGCCUAAGUCGGAUUAGCUAGUUGGUGGGGUAAAGGCCUACCAAGGCGACGAUCUGUAGCGGGUCUGAGAGGCUGAUCCGCCACACUGGGACUGAGACACGGCCCAGACUCCUACGGGAGGCAGCGGUGGGGAAUAUUGGACAAUGGGGGGAACCCUGAUCCAGCCAUGCCGCGUGUGUGAAGAGGGCCUUAUGGUUGUAAAGCACUUUAAGCGAGGAGGAGGCUCUUUUGGUUAAUACCCAAGAUGAGUGGACGUUACUCGCAGAAUAAGCACCGGCUAACUCUGUGCCAGCCGCCGCAGUAA
Molecule: ribosomal RNA, 503 nt
Filed under: uncultured bacterium
Lineage: Bacteria
Description: partial 16S ribosomal RNA
Rfam family: Bacterial small subunit ribosomal RNA
Source: RNAcentral